RNAcentral lists this ribosomal RNA (252 nucleotides) under uncultured Zavarzinella sp. RNAcentral's name for it is "partial 16S ribosomal RNA". It matches the Rfam family "Bacterial small subunit ribosomal RNA", at positions 524 to 776 of the family's 1533-position model. The record is from RNAcentral. Lineage: Bacteria; Pseudomonadati; Planctomycetota; Planctomycetia; Gemmatales; Gemmataceae.
GACGAACCGUCCGAACGUUAUUCGGAAUCACUGGGCUUAAAGGGCGCGUAGGCGGGCUGCCAAGUCCGGGGUGAAAUCCUCCAGCUUAACUGGAGAACGGCCCCGGAUACUGGAAGUCUCGAGGGGGAUAGGGGCACACGGAACUUAUGGCGGAGCGGUGAAAUGCGUUGAUAUCAUAAGGAACUCCGGUGGCGAAGGCGGUGUGCUGAUCCCUUCUGACGCUGAGGCGCGAAAGCCAGGGGAGCAAACGGG